GGCCGUGGUGUCGAGGAUGG
RNAcentral lists this non-coding RNA (20 nucleotides) under Arabidopsis thaliana (thale cress). Lineage: Eukaryota; Viridiplantae; Streptophyta; Magnoliopsida; Brassicales; Brassicaceae. The record is from RNAcentral.